AGAUUGAACGUUGGCGGCAGGCCUAAUACAUGCAAGUCGAACGAGAAAGGCCCUUCGGGGUUGAGUAAAGUGGCGGACGGGUGAGUAACGCGUAGGAAUCUACCCAGUAGUUGGGGACAACCCGAGGAAACUCGGGCUAAUACCGAAUACGAUCUAAGGAUGAAAGAGGGCCUCUAUUUAUAAGCUCUCGCUAUUGGAGGAGCCUGCGUUGGAUUAGCUUGUUGGUGAGGUAAUGGCUCACCAAGGCUACGAUCUAUAGCUGGUCUGAGAGGACGAUCAGCCACACUGGAACUGAGACACGGUCCAGACUCCUACGGGAGGCAGCAGUAGGGAAUAUUGCGCAAUGGGCGAAAGCCUGACGCAGCCAUGCCGCGUGUGUGAAGAAGGCCUUAGGGUUGUAAAGCACUUUCAAUGGUGAAGAAAUACUCGGGGCUAAUACCCUCGGGCUUUGACGUUAACCACAGAAGAAGCACCGGCUAACUCCGUGCCAGCAGCCGCGGUAAUACGGAGGGUGCGAACGUUAAUCGGAAUUACUGGGCGUAAAGCGCGCGUAGGCGGUUUGUUAAGUGAGGUGUGAAAUCCCCGGGCUCAACCUGGGAAUUGCACUUCAAACUGGCAGGCUAGAGUGUAGUAGAGGGAGGUGGAAUUUCCUGUGUAGCGGUGAAAUGCGUAGAUAUAGGAAGGAACACCAGUGGCGAAGGCGGCCUCCUGGACUAACACUGACGCUGAGGUGCGAAAGCGUGGGGAGCAAACAGGAUUAGAUACCCUGGUAGUCCACGCCGUAAACGAUGAGAACUAGCCGUUGGACUCCUUGAGGGUUUAGUGGCGCAGCUAACGCGAUAAGUUCUCCGCCUGGGGAGUACGACCGCAAGGUUA
RNAcentral lists this ribosomal RNA (876 nucleotides) under uncultured bacterium. Its description in RNAcentral is "bacterial SSU rRNA". It matches the Rfam family "Bacterial small subunit ribosomal RNA", at positions 26 to 896 of the family's 1533-position model. The record is from RNAcentral.